AUUGAACGCUGGCGGCAGGCCUAACACAUGCAAGUCGAGCGGAUGAAGGGAGCUUGCUCCUGGAUUCAGCGGCGGACGGGUGAGUAAUGCCUAGGAAUCUGCCUGGUAGUGGGGGAUAACGUCCGGAAACGGGCGCUAAUACCGCAUACGUCCUGAGGGAGAAAGUGGGGGAUCUUCGGACCUCAUGCUAUCAGAUGAGCCUAGGUCGGAUUAGCUAGUUGGUGGGGUAAAGGCCUACCAAGGCGACGAUCCGUAACUGGUCUGAGAGGAUGAUCAGUCACACUGGAACUGAGACACGGUCCAGACUCCUACGGGAGACAGCAGUGGGGAAUAUUGGACAAUGGGCGAAAGCCUGAUCCAGCCAUGCCGCGUGUGUGAAGAAGGUCUUCGGAUUGUAAAGCACUUUAAGUUGGGAGGAAGGGCAGUAAGUUAAUACCUUGCUGUUUUGACGUUACCAACAGAAUAAGCACCGGCUAACUUCGUG
RNAcentral lists this ribosomal RNA (484 nucleotides) under uncultured bacterium. RNAcentral's name for it is "partial 16S ribosomal RNA". It matches the Rfam family "Bacterial small subunit ribosomal RNA", at positions 30 to 507 of the family's 1533-position model. The record is from RNAcentral.